AACGUGGCGAAAGGGUGAGUAACGGAUAGACAAUCUACCCUCAACACCGGGAUAAUCCAUCGAAAGGUGAAGUAAUACCGGAUGGUAUACUGUUUCUACGGAGACAGUAUUAAAGGGGGCUUCGGCUUCCGGUUGAGGAGGAGUCUAUUUCCUAUUAGCUUGUUGGUGCGGUAACGGCGCACCAAGGCUGUGAUGGGUAGGGGGCCUUAGCGGGUGGCCCUCCACACUGGGACUGAGACACUGCCCAGGUUCCUACGGGAGGCUGCAAUCGAGAAUCCUCCGCAAUGGGCGAAAGCCUGACGGGGUGACGCCGCGUGACCGAUGAAGGCUCUUACGGGUCGUAAAGGUCUUACAGGGAGUAUGAAAUAUACUGGGGCUAAUAUCUCCAGUAUUUGACGUCAAUCUCAAAUGAAGUCACGGCUAAAUUUGUGCCAGCAGCCGCGGUAAGACAAAUGCGGCAAGCGUUGUUCGGAAUCACUGGGCAUAAAGGGCACGUAGGCGGCGUAGUAAGUUAACUGUGAAAUCCCCCGGCUCAACCGGGGAACUGCAGUUAAUACUGCUGUGCUAGAGUGCAGAAGAGGAGAGUGGAAUUCUAGGUGUAGCGGUGGAAUGCGAAGAUAUCUAGGAGAAGGCCGGUGGCGAAAGCGACUCUCUGGUCUGUUACUGACGCUGAGGUGCGAGAGCGCAGGUAGCGAACGGGAUUAGAUACCCCGGUAGUCUGUGCCGUAAACGAUGGGCACUAGAUGGUGGAGGCGCCGAUAGCUUUCUCCGUCGCAGCUAAUACGUUAAGUGCCCCGCCUGGGGAGUAUGGCCGCAAGGUUAAAACUCGAAGGAAUUGACGGGGGCCCACACAAGCGGUGGAGGAUGUGGCUUAAUUCGAGGAUACCCGUAAAACCUUACCGAGGCUUGACAUGCAGGUGGUAGUGAAGUGAAAGCGGAACGACCCGAAUAGGGAGCCUGCACAGGUGCUGCAUGGCUGUCGACAGCUCGUGUCGUGAGAUGUUAGGUUAAG
RNAcentral lists this ribosomal RNA (1012 nucleotides) under uncultured organism. RNAcentral describes it as "bacterial SSU rRNA". It matches the Rfam family "Bacterial small subunit ribosomal RNA", at positions 92 to 1084 of the family's 1533-position model. The record is from RNAcentral.